Molecule: long non-coding RNA, 487 nt
Organism: Mytilus trossulus (common blue mussel)
Lineage: Eukaryota; Metazoa; Mollusca; Bivalvia; Mytilida; Mytilidae
Exons: 3
Source: RefSeq, a predicted model, not a curated record
CGUACCGGGAAAAUCUUAUCUGAUUCAGGAUCAAUUCAUCGGUUACACUCCCCUGUCACCAGUGAUCCUUUUUGCUGACAUUCUGAAAAAGUAUUGUGUAGUCCCUGUGGCAAGAACAUUAAAGAUAAAGGGGAAACUAUAAACAGAAGAAAUUAUCAACAAAAUAAGAUUUACAGAGGUCAACAAAGCCUAAAUGGUCAGACAUCUCGAUUUUCAUAGUCAUCAUUCACAGAUCAAUACUGAACGGAAAACUUAAAGCUGAUAUUUUUCUCUAUAGUGCGACUUUUUUAUUAAUUUGAAAUGGAAUGUGUUUUUUCCUACAUUUAUUUGAAAGAGGAAAUUUCAACAUGAGGACUAUAAACACAAAGGAGUCAUAUCAUCACGAUCAUUGAUGCACAAGAACUUGAUCAUAGAAAUACAACAAUGUAAUUAUCAAUUGAAAGAUGGAACGAAUGAACAAAAUAUUAGAAUGUUGUUGUCCAAAUAA